GGGUCCUGCUGUCAAGACACUUGGGCUGGAAACACCAGCAUCAACCUCACCAGCUUCCUCCACAUGCACCAAGACACCUCACAGGUCCCACGCAGUGGGGUGGUCUGUGCCUUCGGGUGCCCCAUUUCAGCGGGCUCGUGCACCUUGCCGGAGACGUCCUGCAGAGACAGGAGCUCCAUAAGCAGGCGGUGCCACAGAACAUCCCCAGUGACUGUGAACCGAGCAGGGACCUAACGGGGAGCUUACCAUGCCGGGCUAAUGUUUGUAUUUUUAGUAGAGACGGGGUUUCACCAUGUUGGCCAGGCUGGUCUCGAACUCCUGACCUCAAGUGAUCCGCCGGCUUUGGCCUUCCAAAGCGCUGAGAUUGCAGGCAUGAGCCACUGUGCCUGGCCUUAAUUUUCAUUUCUUGUAUUAUCACUGAGAUGAAACAUAUUUCUAUGCAUUAACCAGUUUGUUUUUCUUCUUUUUUGAGACAGGGUCUCACUGUCAACCAGGCUGAAGUGCAGUGGUGUGAUAACAGCUUACUGCAGCCUCAACUUCUCAGGCUCAAGUGAUCCUCCCACCUCAGCCCCCCAGGUAGCUGGGACUACAGGUGUGCAC
RNAcentral lists this long non-coding RNA (600 nucleotides) under Homo sapiens (human). RNAcentral describes it as "non-protein coding lnc-NIPA2-3:1". The record is from RNAcentral. Lineage: Eukaryota; Metazoa; Chordata; Mammalia; Primates; Hominidae.